CAGUGUGAUUGCGUUAUAUAGCGUUAAAGUUGUGGCGACGUUACUGUAAAAAAAAUCAAUACCGUCGCAGAAUAUUUUCCCUUUUUUCCGAUUAAAAAUCAAAAUUCUAUCGUAGAUACCUUGAACAGUAACACGGUUGCUAAGAACUUUCUUUUCAGCAAUCGAUUUGUCGUUCAUUUUUUAAUCAUAUGUCAUCAAUUUUGUUAUUAAGUCUGUGGGCCAAUAAAUUAAAAACUCUUGAUUAUAUGAAAAAUAUCUGUCGAUUUCCCCUAUGUCUUCUUUGUAUUAUUUCCGUAUCAGCUCUAAACUCAAAAAUGAAAACGGUUACGCUUACGUUUCAUUUAAUUUUCCGAUGAAUUUGUGCAAGCAGAAUUCAUUUGCCAAAUUUAAAAACAAAAAUCGCGGAGUAAUCAAUUAUGUACACUUCGACUCAAUGCUAGUAAAAAUAUAUGUCGACCUUGUGUGAAAAAAAGCAUAUGGUAAUUCCGGUGUAGAUCAAAUUUUAUUGUGAACAAGACCUCUCAAUUUUUACUUAUUUUUGACACUUCUGCUGGUUGACUGUUAGUCCUUCUAGAAUGAUUCAUUAGCUCAGUAGUCAGUGGUUCAGUACUGAAAUGAUUUACAUCAUGUUUUGUAAAAUGUGUUGAUAAAAUAAGAAUCUAAGGUUUCAACUUUCUGAGGCUAGUACGUAGAUCUAUGACGAAUUUGGCUAAAUACUUUCAUGUAACUGUUGGUCAUAAAGCUUCUUAUGUUUCUAUGUAUUAUAUGCAUCCUGGAUUUUCAAAACAUUCUUGGUUUUGGUUGAGCGUUAUUGAUUAGGUAAACCCAGCGCUUUAGAAGCACGAACCUUUUCAUUAACCAGUAAAUAGUGUGUAUUCAUUAUUAUCUUACCUCCUAUACAUUUCUAGGAAUAUGAUUGGCUAAAAGCGUCCGCAUGGAGACCGUGUAUAUUCAAUAUUAGGUUAGUAGGGAGGCUGGGCUUAUUUCAUUCACGGUUAGUAGUGGUGUUACGACCCUAGCUUUAUAACAACAAAACGGUACUGAGACAAAAUCUUAAAGGUUUCAACAGACGAAGAAAUGGACGAUCAAGAUUGAAAUAAAUUUAUAAAACACA
RNAcentral lists this long non-coding RNA (1114 nucleotides) under Mytilus galloprovincialis (Mediterranean mussel). Lineage: Eukaryota; Metazoa; Mollusca; Bivalvia; Mytilida; Mytilidae. The record is from RNAcentral.